AUUGAACGCUGGCGGCAUGCCUUACACAUGCAAGUCGAACGGUAACAGGUUAAGCUGACGAGUGGCGAACGGGUGAGUAAUACAUCGGAACGUGCCCGAUCGUGGGGGAUAACGGAGCGAAAGCUUUGCUAAUACCGCAUACGAUCUACGGAUGAAAGCAGGGGACCGCAAGGCCUUGCGCGGACGGAGCGGCCGAUGGCAGAUUAGGUAGUUGGUGGGAUAAAAGCUUACCAAGCCGACGAUCUGUAGCUGGUCUGA
This 258-nucleotide ribosomal RNA is filed under the name uncultured bacterium. RNAcentral describes it as "partial 16S ribosomal RNA". It matches the Rfam family "Bacterial small subunit ribosomal RNA", at positions 30 to 295 of the family's 1533-position model. The record is from RNAcentral.